RNAcentral lists this unclassified non-coding RNA (372 nucleotides) under Hevea brasiliensis (rubber tree). The record is from RNAcentral. Lineage: Eukaryota; Viridiplantae; Streptophyta; Magnoliopsida; Malpighiales; Euphorbiaceae.
AUGGAGAUUUCAAUGGAAAUUGAAGAGGGGCAAUCCAUGAAGACAAUAGUGAAAAUUGAAGAAACUCACAUCAUGGAAUUUGUGGAGAUUGAAGAUUUUUAUAACCCUUUAAUUCAUAUUGUCUUGGUUGUUUAUUUAUCCACAUAUUUCCAUGGAUACAAAGGACAAUAUGAAAUUGCUCAAUUCAAUUUUGUUCAAGUCAAUCUUCUUCAUACCAUUCAAGGAGCCAUGGUUUAAUUUUCCAAAGGUGUUUUUGAUUCUUUAACACUUUAAAAUUCAAGAUUGAAUUUUCUCAAAAGUGUGAGUGAGUGACGCAUUAGGCAAAUCAAAACUAGACUUGAAUACGUGUAGAAUGGAGAAAGAAAAUCCAUA